This 523-nucleotide ribosomal RNA is filed under the name uncultured bacterium. RNAcentral describes it as "bacterial SSU rRNA". It matches the Rfam family "Bacterial small subunit ribosomal RNA", at positions 355 to 891 of the family's 1533-position model. The record is from RNAcentral.
UGGGGAAUCUUGGACAAUGGGGGCAACCCUGAUCCAGCCAUGCCGCGUGAGUGAUGAAGGCCUUAGGGUCGUAAAGCUCUUUCGCUUGUGAAGAUAAUGACGGUAGCAGGUAAAGAAACCCCGGCUAACUCCGUGCCAGCAGCCGCGGUAAUACGGAGGGGGUUAGCGUUGUUCGGAAUUACUGGGCGUAAAGCGCACGUAGGCGGACCAGAAAGUUGGGGGUGAAAUCCCGGGGGCUCAACCCCGGAACUGCCUCCAAAACUAUUGGUCUAGAGUUCGAGAGAGGUGAGUGGAAUUCCAAGUGUAGAGGUGAAAAUUCGUAGAUAUUUGGAGGAACACCAGUGGCGAAGGCGGCUCACUGGCUCGAUACUGACGCUGAGGUGCGAAAAGUGUGGGGAGCAAAACAGGAUUAGAUACCCUGGUAGUCCACACCGUAAAACGAUGAAUGCCAGUCGUCGGGUAGCAUGCUAUUCGGUGACACACCUAACGGAUUAAGCAUUCCGCCUGGGGAGUACGGUCGCAA